UUUUUGGCUGCAUGUGCUCGCUUCCGACAAUCCUUAUCCAUACACCUGUGCAUCUCUGAGGGUUUUCCGUCUUUACUGAUUGGAUUUCCCUCUCUUUCACAAACCCCUUAUGUAUAACAUUGAACGUGAUUGUGCCGCAAGGCCUUUAAAUAAAUACAACUUUUAACAACGGAUCUCUUGGCUCUCGCAUCGAUGAAGAACGCAGCGAAUUGCGAUAAGUAAUGUGAAUUGCAGAAUUCAGUGAAUCAUCGAAUCUUUGAACGCACCUUGCGCUCCCUGGUAUUCCGGGGAGCACGCCUGUUCGAGUGUCGUGAAACUCUCAAGCUGGAUUGCUUUAUUGCUAAUCUCAGUUUGGAUUUGGGCCUUGCCGUGUUAUGAUGGCUGGCCUUAAAAGCAUUAGCUGAAUCUUGGUGUGAGAUUGGUUCUACUCAGCGUGAUAAUUAUCUGACCGCUGAGGACAUCUUUCGGGAUGGCCAUACUUGUCCUCGAAUCGCUUCUAAUCUGGUUAACGGGAAACCGUUCCAUUUUUCAACUUUGACCUCGAAUCAGGCGGGACUACCCGCUGAACUUAAGCAUAUCAAUAAGCGGAGGAAAAGAAACUAACAAGGAUUCCCCUAGUAACGGCGAGUGAAGCGGGAUGAGCUCAAAUUUAAAAUCUGGCAGUCUUCGAUUGUCCGAGUAGUAAUCUAGAGAA
Molecule: ribosomal RNA, 694 nt
Filed under: uncultured cf. Coprinus sp.
Lineage: Eukaryota; Fungi; Basidiomycota; Agaricomycetes; Agaricales; Agaricaceae
Description: eukaryotic LSU rRNA
Rfam family: 5.8S ribosomal RNA (bases 158-311)
Source: RNAcentral